Long non-coding RNA from Malaya genurostris, 5299 nucleotides. RefSeq lists it as uncharacterized. The transcript is spliced from 8 exons. NCBI's taxonomy places the organism in Eukaryota, Metazoa, Arthropoda, Insecta, Diptera, Culicidae. The record is from RefSeq and is a predicted model, not a curated record.
AUGAAUUUAAAAAUACUACACUUUUCUCGUUACUAUAUAGAUUUAUUUUGGUUUUAAAUAUGCUACAUGUCACCAUGAAGAUUCGAACUAAACUAAAAAUUGCUUAAGAUGGCACGCAGUUUCGCGCCGUUUUUUACGCUUUAUUCUCGGGGGGGUGCCAUGAUAUUUCCGUUACUAUACAGUCAGACUCGAUGUGUUGCCAACAAAACAAUUAUUCAUAGCAACCGCUGCCAAUAAAAGGGAAUGAGGAAAAUUUUCACUUCGUAGUUGAACAUCUCAUCUAGACGGAAGUACAUUCGCCAACAUCCUGCCCCGCGGCUGCGAAGCUUAAGUUAUCCCGUGUUGGAAGAGGAGCCAGUUUGCUAAUAGAACGUCGAAAAGUUCCAUUCGAUGUCUUCACGUCUACCACACGUACCAAAGAAUCUGGUCCCGGAUAAGUAGCAGUUACAAUUCCAAGCUUCCAUACCAUUGGAGGAAGAUUGUCCUCGAUUAGAAGCACCACUGUUCCGGGUUGUACACUUGGUGAUACAGCUGUCCAUUUGCCACGCGACUGAAGUGAUGUUAAGUACUCUCGGGACCAACGCCCCCAAAAGUGUUCACGAAGCUUGUCAAGAUAUCUCCACCGGGAGAGACGAUUGUCUGGAAUUUCCUUGCAAGUUGGCUUUGCAAUACAAGCCAAUGGUCUACCAAUUUGCAAAUGGGCAGGUGUAAGAGGAAGAGGAUCAUCUGGACUUUGGGAAAGAUUAAACAGUGGCCUCGAAUUCAAAAUGGCCUCAACAUGUAUGCGUUUUGACACUUUUAACUCGCGCCUCCCACAAACCACCAAAAUUUGGCGCCCUUGGAGGGAUGAAGUGCCACUCUAUCUCUCUCGAAACUAAGAAAUCAUUUACAGUACGACGAUGUGUUUCAUUUUGAAAUUGUGUAUACAGCAGAUGAAGUUCAUUCGAAGCUCCCACAAAAUUUGAUCCAUUAUCCGAGAAUAAUUUUCGUACUAAUCCUCGGCGAUUGAUAAAACGUUCCAGUGCUGCGAUGAAGGCGGCAGUAGUGAGUUCUGAUACUAAUUCUAAGUGCACAUUUUUCGUUGUCAUACACACGAAUACGGCAAUAUAACACUUCAUAAUUUUCGGGCGAUGUUUUCCUUGCUUCACAUUAACCGGACCGGCAUAAUCUACGCCAGUAUAUUCAAAAGGAGAUGCAAUAUUAACACGCUCUACAGAUAAAGCUCUCAGGGGCCAGAAACUUUGCCGAAUGAUACUCAAUAAUCCCGAGGGUCCCACGUGUAAGUGCUCAACAUGAAGGGUUCUAAUAAUCAUUUCUGUUAUUGAAUGUCUCGGCAAGAUGAGUGGAUGUUUAGUCUCGAAUGGUAGGACCGACUUCUGCAAACGACCGCCUACACGCAAUAAAUGAUUAUCAUCAAGAAAAAGACUAAGAUUAGCCAAUCGACGCAGUGGUUGUCCCCUUUCAAUACGAAACACUCAAAUAUGCUGUCGUUUUGAAUUGCUUUGUCGGCUUGCGUUUGCAAUUGCGAAUGAAUCUCUGCACAUAUGCAAUAACACGUUGAAGCUUACGGAAGUUAUUGAACCUUUCGAAAACCGGUCCGUGCCACCAGAGCAAAUUUCCGCUUAGCAUAGCUGGCAGCUGGCCUCGAGACACAACAUCCGCUGGAUUUUGUCGUGUAUUCACGUAUUUCCAGGAGAAACUGUGGGUAAGAUUGUUAAUCUGCACAACUCGGUUUUGGAUAAAUACCUCAAGAGACCCGAGUGGCUUUUUCAACCAGGCCAGAACAAUUUGGCUAUCGCACCACAAUAAAAUCACUGAGCAUUUUAUUUGCAAUGCUUCAAUCACCUUAACAACAAGCCGAGCCAAAAUCAAUGCUCCCAAAAGCUCCAACCUUGGGAUAGUCGUAGCCUUUAAUGGAGCCACCCGAGAUUUGGCACACAUGAGAUGCAUCACUGCUGAUCCAUCCGAUAGAACACUCCGUAAAUAUACGCAGGCCCCGUACGCUGCAACUGAUGCAUCUGAGAAUCCAUGGAUUUCAUAUCGUACAACAGAUGGUAACUUCAUACAUCUUGGAACCUUGAUCAAAUGCGCUGUGCAGCUUCUUCCUCUGUGUCAGCUCCAGACAGCAUAUCAUCUACGUAUACAUCAUUUAGAACCAUUUUAGAUGCAACUGGAUAACGUUGUUGUUCUUCUAUGGCCAACUGUACUAAGCAUCUCGACGCGAGAAACGGUGCAGCAGCUGUUCCAUAUGUAACAGUGACUAACUCUAGUACUCGCAAUGGCUUCGCUGAAUCCUCUCUCCAGAAGAUUCUUAAGAAUCGAGUUUGUGAAUGAUCGAUCAAAAUCUGUCUGAACAUUUUUGUAACAUCUCCAGAAAAACCGAAGACGUGUUGCCGGAAACGUAGAUUUACGGUGAAUAUAUCGUUCUGAACCGAUGGACCGGUUUUCAUAACAUCGUUGAGGGAGUAUUUCGACUCCUUAGCACUGGCGUCAAAUACCACUCUUACCUUUGUUGAAGAACUAGUCAGCUUAAAUACUGCAUGGUGUGUGGCCAAGCCUUUCAUACUCUCCCAUGAAUUCAAUAUAUUGAUUUCGCAAUUCUGGGUUCCGCAGCAGUUUUCGUUCUAAAGCAAGAAAUCGCUUCAAUGCCAGAUUUCGAUUGCUUUCAAGCUCCGAAACUGUUUCUCGAAACGGCAUCUUGACUAUAAAUCGACCAAAUUCGUCCCGGCGAUACGUUUCUACGAAAUAUUGUUCAACUUCUUGUUCUUCGGUGUUGGAAGAUUGAGGCUCAUCCACCUCCUCAAUUGAACAAAAUCUAUCCAAACGAUCGAGUAACGUAUCUUGCACAGCAACAUUAGCUAUCAAAACAGUCUGAGAAGCCUGAUGGUAUGGUUCGUAUGUACCUGUAAUGAUCCAACCUAGAUCUGUUUCACGUAGUGAUGCAGUUCUAUUAUCUAGUAACACCCUUUUGGUUCGCAGCAAGUCCCACACAUAACUAGAAGCUAAUACCAAAUCUAUUUCGCUUGGUUUAUAAAAGAGUGGGUCCGCUAGCUGUAGCUCGGGAGGAAUAUUCCACGAUGAAGCAUCAAUUGCUACAGAUGGGACAAUUGAAGUUGGCUUAUCCGAAAUCAAACAGUUGUGUUUUCAUUGAGUUAGCACCAACUACAGUUAUGUUGCACUUCAGAGUUGGUAAACCAAGAACUUGAGCCAUCGCUUUUGACAAGAUGUGUGCUUGUGAACCUGAGUCCAAUAGUGCACGACAUGCAUGACUCCGACCGUGUACAUCGACAACAUCAACCAUCGCUGUUUGAAGAAGUACUUGAUUAGAAGAACGCAGAAAACCAUCACCGACACAAGACGUGGUUACUGACACCUUUUCGUUCUCUGGAGAUUCAGGAUCCGCCUUCCCAGCGACCUCCCGAUGAUCUGAAGCCUUAUCCUUUGAUUUCUCGUUUGACGAUACACAGCCUUCCACUUGAUCUAGAUGGAGCAUGAUAUGGUGCUUCUGAUUACAUUUUACACACGUUCUCUGCGACGGACAAGCUCUGACCAUAUGGCCCUUGCGUAAACAGUUGAAGCAAACCUUGGCAUCCUUCACCUUUGCCACACGUUGUUCAUUGUUCAUCUUUAUAAACGCAGAACAUUUGAAAUUAGGAUGACCUCCGCCACACAGUUCACAUACAAUCUCACUGGAUGUGGCGACUACAGCAGAUAUUUUGGAUGCUUUAGACGAUGGUGCUACCUUAGAAGAUGCUUGCUUCAAGGAAGGUAGUGCUGAUACGGCAGACUCACAACGCUCUAAUAUGAGACACCGUUUCCUUAGAAAAUCCAUAGUAUCCACGUAAUUUGGAAGGACACCGUGCUCAAUUGUAGCCUCCCAAAGCUCUCGUGUUUCUUGAUCAAGAGCCGCUGAUAAUAUAUGGAUUACCAUGAGCUCCGACACGCCUUGAAGUAGUUGAUCGUGAAACUUCAGAUUCUCGACGUGCCUGGAACACUCAUCAAUCAAGCUGCGUAGCUCCUUUGAUGACUUCUUAGCCAUCUUCUUGAGUUGCAUGAUCCCUUGAAUAUGAACAUCGAUAAUCAACCUCUUGUUCUCAUAUCGUUGUUCCAAGAUUUGCCAAGCUUGUUGAUAAUUAUUAUCUUGUAUGGUCUUGGCGUCGAUAAUUCCUGCUGCACUUCCUACUAGUGACUUAUCCAAAUGAAACAGUUUGAUUGCAUCGGAGUCUGGCGAGUUUCGCAUUAAAUCCAGAAACAUCGAUUUGAAUCUAGGCCAGUUUUCGUACCGCCCAUCGAAUGUCGGCAAAGGAGCUCGAAGAGAUUGCUGAUGGAUGACAACCUGCUGUUGACCAUUAUGCUGUCCCCCUGCUGGAAGAAUUGAACGUUCUCGAUUGGCAUCCAGAAGUGUUUCGAUGACAACUUGUACCUCGUUGUAAAGUUCCUCGAAUUCGAUCAACUUUACUUCCUGUGCAUCUCGCUGAUUGUCAUGCACCGUUUGCAUAACUAUAUCGUGAACCUCAUUAAAUUCACUGUAAUAUUUCUCUACAUUUUUUGAAUAAACGCGAAGCUGCGCUGUAGAUAUCGCUGUAGCAUUUUCUUGCGCUGCUACUAUUGCACUUUGGAUUCUCGUCAAUUUUCCCUUCACUGUUGCACGUUUGGAAAUUAACAAUUUUAGUUCCGCCAUUUUUCCACCUUUCGCACACUUUGGAGUUGAAAAUACUGAAUCCUGAUCUAAUUUGAUCUCUUCAUCGUCUUCCGUGGUAGAAUGAUCGAGUACAGCUGGCCUCAUCGGACAACUGUGUAGUCUUUUUAUAACACCUUGAGCUUAUUGCUUUUCGAUUCCACGCAUUAUUUUUCAACUUGCACUCCGGAUCUCAUCCGGCUCGAAGGACCAAAUGUCCGAUUUCAAUUGUUAUUGUAUCGUUGUGGACUGUAUGAAUUUAAAAAUACUACACUUUUCUCGUUACUAUAUAGAUUUAUUUUGGUUUUAAAUAUGCUACAUGUCACCAUGAAGAUUCGAACUAAACUAAAAAUUGCUUAAGAUGGCACGCAGUUUCGCGCCGUUUUUUACGCUUUAUUCUCGGGGGGUGCCAUGAUAUUUCCGUUACUAUACAGUCAGACUCGAUGUGUUGCCAACAAAACAAUUAUUCAUAGCAACCGCUGCCAAUAAAAGGGAAUGAGGAAAAUUUUCACUUCGUAGUUGAACAUCUCAUCUAGACGGAAGUACAUUCGCCAACAUAAAGAAAUACCUAAUACGAUAUUUAAAAAAUAAGAGGAAUAUGUUUUAUUAAACUCAAAUCGU